RNAcentral lists this ribosomal RNA (260 nucleotides) under uncultured soil bacterium. RNAcentral describes it as "partial 16S ribosomal RNA". It matches the Rfam family "Bacterial small subunit ribosomal RNA", at positions 26 to 287 of the family's 1533-position model. The record is from RNAcentral.
AGGACAAACGCUGGCGGCGUGCAUAAAACAUGCAAGUCGGACGAGCCAAUCCCCGCAAGGGGAAAGGCUAGUGGCGAACGGCUGAGUAACACGUAGGUGAUCUGCCCUGAAGUGGGGGAUAACGACUCGAAAGAGUCGCUAAUACCGCAUGUGACCACCGAUCCGUUUUCGGUGCUCAAAGUCGUAAGACGCUUUAGGAGAGCCUGCGGCGGAUUAGCUAGUUGGUGAGGUAAUGGCCCACCAAGGCUUCGAUCCGUAGC